GUGGGGAAUAUUGGACAAUGGGCGAAAGCCUGAUCCAGCCACGCCGCGUGUGUGAUGAAGGCCUUCGGGUCGUAAAGCACUGUGGAGAGGGAAGAACUCAAUGACGGUACCUCUUUAGCAAGCACCGGCUAACUCCGUGCCAGCAGCCGCGGUAAUACGGAGGGUGCUAACGUUGCUCGGAAUUAUUGGGCGUAAAGCGCACGUAGGCGGCCCAGUGUGUCGGAUGUGAAAGCCCUCGGCUUAACCGAGGAAGUGCAUUCGAAACUACUAGGCUUGAGUACGGGAGAGGGUAGCGGAAUUCCCGGUGUAGAGGUGAAAUUCGUAGAUAUCGGGAGGAACACCAGUGGCGAAGGCGGCUACCUGGACCGAUACUGACGCUCAGGUGCGAAAGCGUGGGGAGCAAACAGGAUUAGAAACCCGGGUAGUCC
RNAcentral lists this ribosomal RNA (428 nucleotides) under uncultured bacterium. RNAcentral describes it as "bacterial SSU rRNA". It matches the Rfam family "Bacterial small subunit ribosomal RNA", at positions 354 to 796 of the family's 1533-position model. The record is from RNAcentral.